UUCUACUUGUAUAAUACCCUCCUCGUAUAAGAUGAUCUUUUGUUGGUAAAAAUAGUUAUGGAAUGGGCGGUCUUUUGUUGGUAAAUAGUUGUGGAAUAGGCGGUCAAACAAAUAAUGAAACCUUUAAAGGAACUUGUUUAUGAAAAAUAUUAUCAAGUGAAACUCAACCAGCAGACUCCUCUUUUGCACUGUGAAGAACUGAUAGACUCCACUGACAGAAUAACCUUUAAUCAGAUCAAGUAACCAUUUCCAACAAUCAUAAACAUUUUCCUGCA
Molecule: long non-coding RNA, 275 nt
Filed under: Medicago truncatula (barrel medic)
Lineage: Eukaryota; Viridiplantae; Streptophyta; Magnoliopsida; Fabales; Fabaceae
Description: long non-coding RNA (MTRU_LNC003611)
Source: RNAcentral